Molecule: ribosomal RNA, 342 nt
Filed under: Triticum aestivum (bread wheat)
Lineage: Eukaryota; Viridiplantae; Streptophyta; Magnoliopsida; Poales; Poaceae
Description: partial small subunit ribosomal RNA
Source: RNAcentral
AUGUACGAUCGGGCGUCACCGCAGGGCCUCAAGGAGCUGCUCGCCUGCUACCUGGCCCUCAACGCCGCCGAGCACCGCGACAUCGUUGCCGCUUUCUGCUGCGCAUGGCUCGACUACACAACCGGCACAACGGCACCACCUGCACCAAGCACAGCCCGCCGCCGUGACGGUGGGCCGAUGCCAGCCAGGGACGCCAUAUCCCUCGACGGGAGGCGCUCAUGGAUGAUCCUAUCGAACGAUGUUGAUACCAUCAGCAAAGUCCCCAUCAGCAGAGCUUGCACCCCCCACGGCCUCCGUGUGCGCCUGGAUCAACUCUUCCUCGUCCGUGCAAGGUCUGGCUAG